Erinaceus europaeus (western European hedgehog) is the source of this 1569-nucleotide long non-coding RNA. RefSeq lists it as uncharacterized. NCBI's taxonomy places the organism in Eukaryota, Metazoa, Chordata, Mammalia, Eulipotyphla, Erinaceidae. The transcript has 4 exons. The record is from RefSeq and is a predicted model, not a curated record.
UGGCUGCAGUUAGCAGAAGUAGCUGCUGUGGAAAAACCUAGCUCUCUCACCUCUCCAGAGAAAGCCUGUGGGUGUGGAUCCACCAGCCAUUACCCAUGUCCAGCAGAGAAGCAAUGACAGAAGCCAAAACUCCCACUUUCUGCACCUUCUUCUACCUUCAUACUCCAGAGCGGGAGAAGUGGUAGGAGGAAGAGAGUAAGAGGGCUCUGAACUCCAGCUCCAUCAGGACCCACAGGGCAGGGUUGUGGCAUUUGGAUAUAGCAAUAGAGUAAUAGGGGCAUGAGUGGCUUGGAAGGGAAGAGAGGACUGGACCUGGAAGAAAAAGGGGGCAGUUUUGUACAAAUGUAAACAGAUAGUUGUAGAGUUGGCGGUUAACCCGUGUCUGCAACUUUGGGAGAACUACUGUGGCUUAAAAUGGAGGAAUUGGGGAUUCAGAACUCUGGUGGUGGAAACAGCAUGGAAUUAUACCCCAGUUGACACGUAAUUUUUCUAAUCAAUAUUAAAUCACUAGUAAAGUUAAAAAAAAAAAAAAAAGAAAAGAAAAACCGGGUUCCCCUGGUCAGGGUUUUCAACUGCAGUUCAGGGCCCUCCCAGCUCCCUGCCUGUGAGACUCACCAGCAGCUCCAGCUUAGCUUAAGCCCUGGGAAGCAGCUUUGUGAGUGGGAACCCACCAACAUUCCUGUGGUCAGCCUGGCUGCUGACGGGAACUGCUGGGACACCACCCAAAACAGCAAUAAAAUCUCCCUCUAGCCCAGAGAAAUGACAGCUUGUGCUCAGCUAAGGGAAUUCGUUAUGCUGAUUUGCUUCCCAAAUGUACUUGGCAAUUGGGGGGGGGGGACCAUCUGUUGCUAAGCUUCCAUUAUCCAGGGGGGAAAGAUGGUUUCUUCAUCUCUCUGACAGGAGUACAGCAGCAGCAUAGAGCUGGACUGUCCCUUGUGAACCUCUGGGGAGAUCAGGAGACAGCAAGAGUGAGCGCCCUCCAUACUUACAUCUCAGAGAGAAGUCACCUUGGUUCUAGAUCCAGCAGGUGUUUGGAAGUGUCAGCAGUUAUAUUUACUGUGGACACAGAAUGUUACCCACCGUCCCCAACUUCUGUGGAGUUGUAAUCUUGUUUCUACCUCUUCUGGACCUGCAGAAGGUGCUGCAUCUGCUGGCAUUGGUGAAGACAGAAGAAAAUAUACCUGGACAAAGGAGGAGAGAUUUUCCUGCAUAGAGGGCUUCCAGCUUGGUUUCCUGUUGUGACCCCCCCCAAGAGGAAUGAGGGACAAUCAGCUUAUGAAUGACAUCAGCCUGAGGCGGAGCACACUCACCAGGGUAUGUGGGUGCAGGGACUAUAAAAGCAAGGACUGGCAGCAGCUCACUCUUGAGUGAUCACCUUCAGCAUGGCGCUCUCCUGCCAGUGUCGCUCCGGGCUGAUCCCGAUCUCCUCACGUGGCGGUCUCAGGUAACUUAGCUGUGGACUUUGGACUUUUGUCUAUUUUCUUAGCUAGACUGCUCCCUUCACAUUCACAGUUGUUGUUGUUGUUGUUGUUGUUUUUAAAUGAAUAAAUCUCUCUUUGUUUAACCUUC